AUCUUCUCUUCAAAUCUGAUUUUACAGGUCAUCGGAUGAUGGUGACAAUGGUGCUAGGCUGCGAUGACGAAGGUGUGUGGGUGGUGAGACAUGAGAAGAUGAGCACAUGUUUGAUUCCUCUUCCUUCCUCAAAUCUGCAGGUCUGUGAUGGGGAGAUGAAGAACGAGAUAUGGAUUUGGGGAAUUUCAGGCAAACAAGUCUAACUCUUUUGAUUUGGGAGACAUAUUUGAGGUCUUGCGAAUCUAGGUCUUCUUCGAAAUCAUCAGCAUCAUCUUCAGAAUUUGGAGAUUGCAGGAAGUAGUGAGAGUUUUGACCAGAUUAGAAAGAAUUUGGUGGGUGGGUUUGAUGAUGAAAGAAGAUGAAGGAUCGAGUUACAAGUGUAUGUGUGUGUGUGUCUAUGUCUGUGUGUUAAAUUGCAAGUGUAUCUGUGUGUGUGUGAGCUAGUAGAGAGAUGGGUAAGGGGUUACCUGUGGAGUGAUAAGGAUGAGUGGUGUAGGAUUUUAUUUUAUUUAUUUUCUUUUUUUUCUAAUUAUUUAAAUACUGAAAUUAAUAAAGAAAAUAUAAAAAACUAAUGAAAA
Molecule: non-coding RNA, 578 nt
Organism: Lactuca sativa (garden lettuce)
Lineage: Eukaryota; Viridiplantae; Streptophyta; Magnoliopsida; Asterales; Asteraceae
Source: RefSeq, a predicted model, not a curated record